UAGGGAAUUUUUUCACAAUGGGGCGAAAGCCUGAUGGAGCAAUACCGCGUGGAUGAUGAAGGUCUUCGGAUCGUAAAAUCCUUUUAUAAGGGACGAAUGGUUUUAGUAGGAAAUGACUAGAAUUUGACUGUACCUUUUGAAUAAGUAACGGCAAACUAUGUGCCAGCAGCCGCGGUAAUACAUAGGUUACAAGCGUUAUCCGGAUUUACUGGGCGUAAAGCGAGCGCGGGCUGAUUAAUAAGUCUGGUGUGAAAUGCAAUUGCUUAACAAUUGUUUGCAUUGGAAACUAUUAUUCUAGAGUGUGAUAGGGAGUUCUGGAACUCCAUGUGGAGCGGUGGAAUGCGUAGAUAUAUGGAAGAACACCUGUGGCGAAAGCGAGAACUUAGGUCACAACUGACGCU
RNAcentral lists this ribosomal RNA (401 nucleotides) under uncultured bacterium. Its description in RNAcentral is "bacterial SSU rRNA". It matches the Rfam family "Bacterial small subunit ribosomal RNA", at positions 355 to 747 of the family's 1533-position model. The record is from RNAcentral.